GCAGGCUGAAAUUCGCCUGCAUGAAGCCGGAAUUGCUAGUAAUGGCAGGUCAGCAUACUGCCGUGAAUACGUUCCCGGGCCUUGUACACACCGCCCGUCACACCAUGAGAGUUGGGGAUACCCGAAGCCUGUGAGCCAACAGUUAAAUGAGGCAGCAGUCGAAGGUAGAAUCAAUGAUUGGGGUGAAGUCGUAACAAGGUAGC
RNAcentral lists this ribosomal RNA (203 nucleotides) under uncultured bacterium. RNAcentral describes it as "partial 16S ribosomal RNA". It matches the Rfam family "Bacterial small subunit ribosomal RNA", at positions 1300 to 1500 of the family's 1533-position model. The record is from RNAcentral.